AUUGAACGCUGGCGGCAUGCCUUACACAUGCAAGUCGAACGGCAGCACGGGAGCAAUCCUGGUGGCGAGUGGCGAACGGGUGAGUAAUAUAUCGGAACGUGCCCAGUCGUGGGGGAUAACGUAGCGAAAGCUACGCUAAUACCGCAUACGAUCUAUGGAUGAAAGCGGGGGAUCGCAAGACCUCGCGCGAUUGGAGCGGCCGAUAUCAGAUUAGGUAGUUGGUGAGGUAAAGGCUCACCAAGCCGACGAUCUGUAGCUGGUCUGAGAGGACGACCAGCCACACUGGGACUGAGACACGGCCCAGACUCCUACGGGAGGCAGCA
This 323-nucleotide ribosomal RNA is filed under the name uncultured bacterium. RNAcentral describes it as "bacterial SSU rRNA". It matches the Rfam family "Bacterial small subunit ribosomal RNA", at positions 30 to 353 of the family's 1533-position model. The record is from RNAcentral.